ACUCCCACAAACCCCAAUGUGAACGUUACCAAACUGUUGCCUCGGCGGGAUCUCUGCCCCGGGUGCGUCGCAGCCCCGGACCAAGGCGCCCGCCGGAGGACCAACCAAAACUCUUAUUGUAUACCCCCUCGCGGGUUUUUUUUAUAAUCUGAGCCUUCUCGGCGCCUCUCGUAGGCGUUUCGAAAAUGAAUCAAAACUUUCAACAACGGAUCUCUUGGUUCUGGCAUCGAUGAAGAACGCAGCGAAAUGCGAUAAGUAAUGUGAAUUGCAGAAUUCAGUGAAUCAUCGAAUCUUUGAACGCACAUUGCGCCCGCCAGUAUUCUGGCGGGCAUGCCUGUCCGAGCGUCAUUUCAACCCUCGAACCCCUCCGGGGGGUCGGCGUUGGGGAUCGGCCCUGCCUUGGCGGUGGCCGUCUCCGAAAUACAGUGGCGGUCUCGCCGCAGCCUCUCCUGCGCAGUAGUUUGCACACUCGCAUCGGGAGCGCGGCGCGUCCACAGCCGUUAAACACCCAACUUCUGAAAUGUUGACCUCGGAUCAGGUAGGAAUACCCGCUGAACUUAAGCAUAUCAAUAAGGCGGAGGAA
RNAcentral lists this ribosomal RNA (583 nucleotides) under Trichoderma harzianum. Its description in RNAcentral is "eukaryotic LSU rRNA". The stretch from base 195 to 348 matches the Rfam family "5.8S ribosomal RNA". The record is from RNAcentral. Lineage: Eukaryota; Fungi; Ascomycota; Sordariomycetes; Hypocreales; Hypocreaceae.